GACGAACGCUGGCGGCAUGCCUAACACAUGCAAGUCUAGGGGUAGCAAUACCACUGGCGCACGGGUGAGUAACACGUAGGUUAUCUGCCCCCAUCACAGACAUAACCCGGGAAACCCGGGGGACGUAAUAUCUGAUGAGGUCGCGAGAUCAAAGACUUCGGCGGAUGGGGAGUGAGGCCUGCGGCUGAUUAGCUAGUUGGUGAGGUAAUGGCUCACCAAGGCGACGAUCAGUAGCUGGUCUGAGAGGACGAACAGCCACACUGGAACUGAGACACGGUCCAGACUCCUACGGGAGGCAGCAGUGAGGAAUAAUUGGUCAAUGGGAGGCAAUCCUGAACCAGCAAUGCCGCGUGUGGGA
Molecule: ribosomal RNA, 358 nt
Filed under: uncultured bacterium
Lineage: Bacteria
Description: bacterial SSU rRNA
Rfam family: Bacterial small subunit ribosomal RNA
Source: RNAcentral